CGAGUCAGUAGCAUAUAUUUCUCUACUUAUUACUCUCUUUUCACUUCAGAUAACUAGCUAACUAGAAUUUAACACUUCUUCUUCUUGUUAGUUAUUAUCAAGGCUGAGUUUGUUGUUUCCAGAACAAUAAGUUAUAGAUAAAUAAUUAUGUGUCAUGUAUUUAAAUGCUUUAUUUAUACUAAAAUGGCAUAGGAAUCAUUUUUAAGUUUAUCAUGUUUCCAUCUGUUCUUAUUAGUCAUGUUUGACUCUUGCCUAUCAGAGCAAAUGGGCGAAACAGAGGGUGUUGGAGAGGAGAAAAAAGUGUGCUACUACAUCAGAGGUCACAGAGUCUGCCACCCACCUACGGCUCAGGCAGAGACACACAGUGUUGAAGAAGAUAAAAGAGUUUGCUAUUAUGUCAGGGGUCACAGAGUCUGCCACCCACCGGCUCCCUAAAUGGCAGAGUGCAUCACGUUGCUGUACAUGGCCUCCCCCAUGAGUAUUGCUUGAUGUAGUGAGGAGAAGUUUGGAAAUAAAACCAAACC
This 524-nucleotide long non-coding RNA is filed under the name Elaeis guineensis (African oil palm). RNAcentral describes it as "long non-coding RNA (EGUI_LNC013036)". Lineage: Eukaryota; Viridiplantae; Streptophyta; Magnoliopsida; Arecales; Arecaceae. The record is from RNAcentral.